GCCGGGGUGGCGGAAUGGCAGACGCGCACGACUCAAAAUCGUGUAAGGCUAACACCUUGUGUGGGUUCAAGUCCCACCCUCGGCA
Molecule: transfer RNA, 85 nt
Filed under: Candidatus Woesebacteria bacterium
Lineage: Bacteria; Candidatus Woeseibacteriota
Description: tRNA-Leu
Rfam family: tRNA
About the family: Transfer RNA (tRNA) molecules are approximately 80 nucleotides in length. Their secondary structure includes four short double-helical elements and three loops (D, anti-codon, and T loops).
Source: RNAcentral